CACAUGCAGUCGAGCGGAUGAGAAGAGCUUGCUCUUCGAUUCAGCGGCGGACGGGUGAGUAAUGCCUAGGAAUCUGCCUAUUAGUGGGGGACAACGUUUCGAAAGGAACGCUAAUACCGCAUACGUCCUACGGGAGAAAGCAGGGGACCUUCGGGCCUUGCGCUAAUAGAUGAGCCUAGGUCGGAUUAGCUAGUUGGUGAGGUAAUGGCUCACCAAGGCUACGAUCCGUAACUGGUCUGAGAGGAUGAUCAGUCACACUGGAACUGAGACACGGUCCAGACUCCUACGGGAGGCAGCAGUGGGGAAUAUUGGACAAUGGGCGAAAGCCUGAUCCAGCCAUGCCGCGUGUGUGAAGAAGGUCUUCGGAUUGUAAAGCACUUUAAGUUGGGAGGAAGGGCAGUAACCUAAUACGUUAUUGUUUUGACGUUACCGACAGAAUAAGCACCGGCUAACUCUGUGCCAGCAGCCGCGGUAAUACAGAGGGUGCAAGCGUUAAUCGGGAAUUACUGGGCGUAAAGCGCGCGUAGGGUGGUUUGUUAAGUUUGAUGUGAAAGCCCCGGGCUCAACCUGGGAACUGCAU
Molecule: ribosomal RNA, 580 nt
Filed under: bacterium tet-w-46
Lineage: Bacteria
Description: bacterial SSU rRNA
Rfam family: Bacterial small subunit ribosomal RNA
Source: RNAcentral